GACGAACGCUGGCGGCGUGCUUAACACAUGCAAGUCGAACGGAAAGGCCCUGCUUUUGUGGGGUGCUCGAGUGGCGAACGGGUGAGUAACACGUGAGUAACCUGCCCUUGACUUUGGGAUAACUUCAGGAAACUGGGGCUAAUACCGGAUAGGAGCUCCUGCUGCAGGGUGGGGGUUGGAAAGUUUCGGCGGUUGGGGAUGGACUCGCGGCUUAUCAGCUAGGUGGUGGGGUAAUGGCUUACCAAGGCGUUGACGGGUAGCGGGCGUGAGAGGGGGAGCGGGCACAGGGGGACUGAGACAGGGACAAGAGGACUACGGGAGGCAGCAGUGGGGAACUUGGGACAAGGGGAGGAAGCCUGGGCAAGCGAGGCGGCGUGUAGGAAGAAGGCCUUGGGGGUGGAAAGGAGGUGUGUCAGGGAAGAAAAGGCUGUGGCUAAUACCGACAGCGGAGGACGGUAACUGAAGAAGAAGCACCGGCUAACUACGUG
RNAcentral lists this ribosomal RNA (488 nucleotides) under uncultured bacterium. RNAcentral describes it as "partial 16S ribosomal RNA". It matches the Rfam family "Bacterial small subunit ribosomal RNA", at positions 28 to 507 of the family's 1533-position model. The record is from RNAcentral.